RNAcentral lists this long non-coding RNA (419 nucleotides) under Drosophila guanche. Lineage: Eukaryota; Metazoa; Arthropoda; Insecta; Diptera; Drosophilidae. The record is from RNAcentral.
GAGUAAGUUCCAAACGAUAAACAACUAAAUUUUCAGUUUUUUAGGAAAAGCCCCAAUACCGUAAUUAAAUUCUUUAAAAAAAAAAACUAGUAUUAAAAAGUUUGUAAUUUUGAGUUUUGUAAUUUUCAAUAUUUAAUUUAAAUCUUAACCCGUGCCACAGUUCCCCUUGAACCCUUGGACAACAUUCUGGCGCGGGCUUCGGUCCGUAUCGUCUGUGACCCCCUUUGGAUGUAACUCAAAACUGGAACUAUUCCUCGGGUGUAAACUCACGGAAUUUGUAAUUGAGGCUCACCUGCUGCUGCCGAGGACUUUAACAACAGGACCUUUAACGAAAGGUUCUUCGACAUACAAGUUAUCAGUGCACUGCUGUAUUUAUAUAUUUUUAUACCGUCAAUGAAUAUAUUUUGUAUAAAGUAGAG